Long non-coding RNA from Wyeomyia smithii (pitcher-plant mosquito), 2371 nucleotides. RefSeq lists it as uncharacterized. Lineage: Eukaryota; Metazoa; Arthropoda; Insecta; Diptera; Culicidae. The transcript has 4 exons. The record is from RefSeq and is a predicted model, not a curated record.
ACGCGGCUAUUAAAAUUUUCAUUUUCGGAAUGAAAUUUAUUUGGCGAAAUAUGAAAUUGGAACCAAAUUUACAAGCUCCGUUGCAAAAACAUAAGCGCGUCAUGGGUCUGCAUGAUGCAAUAAAACUUGUAUGUUUACAUUUUGUAAUCAUCUCGAACAGUAUUUCUUAGCAAGCUUAUUCGCGUUUUUUGAAGAUUUGUGAUAAAUAAGUAAAUGUGUGGUUAUGUGCGAUUCUGCGGACAUGGAUUAUGAUGCGGCUGGAGUAAUUACAUGCUAUCUAGAAGUGACUGUUUUCGUUAAUGGAUUCGAGUGCUUUUUUUUUCUCACUUAUUUUCCGUCGGUCUAGUUCCGCCACUGUUGUGGCCAAUCACCGACGCCCAGGGAGGCGACUCCACACCCAGGACCCUAACUCACGACCCGUUUAUUAACGGACCGGCGCCAACGGCUUUACUUCCUCAUGCGAUGGAAGGCGUGAUCCCAGAGAUUUUUCGCCUCAGAAAAUCUCCCGGUGUCGGCUAGGAUUGAAUCUGGACCAGUUGGGUUGGUUGUGAGAGGAUCACGCCACCUCACAACCAUCGACACCUAUGUCGGCGGUGGGAUUCGAACCCAGGCGUCGAGCGUGGUUGGCGGAGAUUCGAGUGCUUGUUGCUGUAGAAAAUCAUAUUCAAAAAGGACGGCAUAAUUUAAAAAAGAAGAUUGAUCUGCUUGCCGUACGUGAAUUUAUUCGAUAGGAAAACUGUAAAUUUACCAGAAGAAGCUUGUUUUAGAAUCGGUGUCAACUUUGGCUCUGCGUUUUUGGCCACUUCAUGUUUGUAGGAAUGCGAAUUGUCGAAAUUUGAAUUUGUCCUUAGUGUUGUUCCGAUAAGACAAUCAGCCUGGUCUACAAGCUGUCUAAAUAGCAGAAUUCACCGGUUAAAGUUAAGCUGAAGCAUCGUACACUAAAGGAGUUGAAGAAGACCAUCAAGGGCAAGCGACACAAACAGGACUUCCGUCAGAUUACCCUGCGUGGUGCUAGUGAUAUUAGGCGACCCUAGCGACCGGCCAUCGCCUCAGGCCACUGUCUUCGUACGGCUACCACUGCCUCAAAACGGCCCUGUAAACAAUGAUGAACGAUGGAUGUGAGGUUCCAGCGAAUUUUUAUUAUGGGCGCUAUUGGAGAAUUGGCAUCAAACCGACUCGCUUAUUUAAUACAAAUAGGACGUAGCUUCCGUAAUAAAGCCCAAUAAGUUGGAAUGCACUUUGUGAUGCUGGGUACCCUUCCGAACCGUGGUUGAUAACACCAUACCGAGCGCCAGAACCAGAAAGUGAUUUUAAUUCUAGGCACAGCUUGGGUAGAGGCAUCAUUGAAAGAACUAUUGGUGUCUUGAAAAAUCGCUUCCGGUGCAUUCUUGGUUCUCGGCAGCUCCAUUAUGCUCCAGCUAAAGCGGCUAAAAUUGUGAAUGUCUGCUGUGCUCUGCACAAUGUUUGUUCAAGCUACAUGGAAGAAAACGAUCUCGAGGAUGUUUGAAAUGUUUAGUGUUCUAAAUGUAACAUGUUUGUGAUGUAUUUACUACACUUAGGCUAACUAGACGGCACAGCAACGUUUUUUGACUAUUCUAAUCGUCCAGUCUUUGAAAAAAGUGACCAGAUUUUGGCACUCAUUUUAAAACAAUUCCUAUUUGUGACACUCGUAGAAAUGCAGUAGAACUUGCGGUCUAUUAAAAGAACAAGCAUCAUCAUCCUUUCCCUUUCCAAGUAGUGCAGCCGACGUCGUUAUUGAUCAGUGCAGCGGUCCAAAACCGAAAUUUAUAGGGAAUUUUAGAUAUAGAGCUCGAUAGCAAAGUUUUAGAGAAAAACUUUCUUCUACAAAGUUGUUACUUAUGAUAAAGCGCUUAUUGAAAAAUGAUUAAAAAUUGGGGUGACCCAAAUUUUCGAUUAAAUCAAAUAUCUAACUUUUUUAUGGAUAGAAGUUGUUUUACGAUGUUUUGGCUGCUUUAAUUCUAAACAAUGAAAGCACACCGAUUUAUUUUUUUCGUAUUUUUUCUUGAAACUAUAAAAAUGUACGUUGAUUUGAUCCAAAAAGAUCAAAAAUCAAUCACCUGGUUCAAAAAUUAUGUUGUUUUUAGGAUAAAAUACAAUGAAUAAAGCUGUUUUUAUUAGGAUCACCCUAUUUCGGAGCUGGUCACUCUGACGACUUAAUAAAAAAAUACGGCGGUUUGGUUAUUUUCAUCUAAAAUCCAUGUUUGCAAUUUUGACCACAAUUGAAGCCCUUUGGAUGACCAACACUCUUGGGAGAUAAACUGAAGUGCUUCACGCCAGAACCGUAACUAGAUAUAUAUAAUAAUCGAUUAUGAAAAUAUUAAAAAAAAAAAUAUUAUUAAAUCUUAAUCUU